Molecule: ribosomal RNA, 483 nt
Filed under: uncultured bacterium
Lineage: Bacteria
Description: partial 16S ribosomal RNA
Rfam family: Bacterial small subunit ribosomal RNA
Source: RNAcentral
GACGAACGCUGGCGGCGUGCCUAACACAUGCAAGUCGAGCGGGGAUUUAAGUGGAAGUUCUUCGGAAUGGAGAUUUAAAUUCUAGCGGCGGACGGGUGAGUAACGCGUGAACAAUCUGUCCCGGACAGGGGGAUAACACUUGGAAACAGGUGCUAAUACCGCAUAAGACCACGGCCUCGCAUGGGGCUGAGGUAAAAGGAGCAAUCCGGUUCGGGGUGAGUUCGCGUCCGAUUAGCUAGUUGGUGAGGUAACGGCCCACCAAGGCGACGAUCGGUAGCCGGCCUGAGAGGGUGAACGGCCACAUUGGAACUGAGAGACGGUCCAAACGCCUACGGGAGGCAGCAGUGGGGAAUAUUGGGCAAUGGGCGAAAGCCUGACCCAGCAACGCCGCGUGAGGGAAGAAGGUUUUCGGAGUGUAAACCUCUGUCCUAUGGGACGAAGGAAGUGACGGUACCAUAGGAGGAAGCCCCGGCUAACUACGUG